UUAAUACUAACAUGAAGGAAAUAACGUAAUACUUACAAAUAAGAAAAAAAUAAUUAAAUAGUUUCAGCAGCAGCAAAAAUUAUAGCAAUUGACAGACAACCAAGAAAUACAAAUAACGGUAAUAGCAAAUAACGCUGAGAUCUGCGCUGUUGCAUUUCAAUGUUUGACUAAGCGCAAUAAAACACCGCACACACGCUGAAAAAAGAGCGCAAUACUACACAUCAUUGAAAACUAAUGAACAAAAAGCCAGUGAACAGGCAGAAAAGAUUUAUGCAAAUUUAAGAAGCGCCAGGCAACUAUUCUAUAAAAUUUUUUGAAGUGGAUUUUCCGCAUUUUGCGAUUGCGUCGAAGGCCUUCACGUGCGAUCAAGUCAUGGCUCCAUGUGCCAUGUGGCAGUCACCGGACAAAACACAGACCACUUCCUCCACUCCACGACAAAUCGAUGAAACCGGCGGUGCCACUCACCGAAGUCGAGAAAGCCCAAUGAGUUGAGCAAAUGUUUUCGCCAGACCUCGCCCCUCUUCUCAGAAGUGAUAACAAAUAACUUCCACUAGCUAAAGGCUUUGUGGCAGAGCCAUCAGAUGCUGAGUUUAACAAGAAAAAUACAAGGAUACUAUCAAAAUGGAAAACGAAGAGCACUCAUCUAUUGGAAGGGGGUUCUUUAUUUUGGACAGGUAUUUAUUUGGGUGGUUUUCUAAACGGAGCUUCCCCACGACAGAGACCCGCUAAAAGUUCUUUCACCUCGAAUCAGUUCCCAGUUUCAUGUCUUCGUUCGGUGAUCGUAAACGAUCAUCAGCGACUUCGGAAAGUUUUAAUGCCAGCGAUAGAUAAGAGCGUUAAUAAGUGACAGGGCGCCAAAGCGAAUCAUAAACAAUUUUAUUCGCGCGUGUCAGAGAGAAAGAGCAAGAAAAAGAAUCGCAAGCAAAUCUAAAAAGCACAAACUCGACAGGUUGCCUUUGGGUGAUAUGGUAUUUCAUUCAUGCUAUAAACAGUCGUUUUAAGCUCUCUUUGUGUCAAUACAUAUUAGUCACAUAUUUAAAGCAUUUUCGGUCACAAAUAUUUAAAACUAAUUGUUUUGGUUUUGGCUUUUUGCAAUCCAGCACAUAGCAUGAAGAAAUUAUUGAUACCCUUGGCCAGUAAGUCCUGGUCUGUAUUUCUUCCGCCACCGAUAAUGACAUAAUAAAUAAAUAUAAAUAAAGAAAGUUAUUACAAUUGUAAAUUGGAAUAGGUGAAUAAAUUAAGUUAAGAAAAACAAUAAAUAAUUAUACCUGUCAAAGCAAAUAAUUUAUUUGUAUGCUUAUAAACAAAUUAGUAAUCCAACACACAAUAAAAUCAAUUGGGAAGAACUAUCUCAAUUGUUGUUAAUUCUGGCACACUACAUAAAUUGCCAUUCAGUCAUAUUCUAUCAGUCUUGGAUGAGUUUCGUAUUCUAGGAUUGGAUUGCCGCUGCUGCCGGGCUGAUGUUUAUGUUAUAGACACAAAAAAUCACUUAGCUUAAAAAUGAUUUCAAGUAUUUUGUGGGAUUUAAAAAUAUACAUCAAAGUGAGAAGCGGCGACGGAAGCGUGACAUAGAGUAUCAGGUAAUGGCCAAAUAGGAUAGAUUGACCAAAAAUAAAUAUUGAGAUGGCUAUUUUUAAACCAAAAAACCUCGUAUCCGAUCUUCAAUUGCACGAGCGCAAAUAGAAGUUUCUAUAUGGGGAUCGGCACAUUUUGGACCGCACACUCACACUGUUAAUUGGCACCGCUCGAGCGAAUCACUUCGCGAGUCUACCCUCGAGAAAAUUUGUUUUAAAUUAGAUUUUUGGACAACCUCGUCUAGAACCAUGCAAUGCCUGAAAUAUGUUGGAACGUGUUUGCGCUUACAUCCUAAUAAAUUAAAUAAGUGAAUUGUUACAAUCGACAUUUGUGACUUGAUAUUUUCGUUGAGCUUCCCCGAUUGUAACAUUCACUUUUCUUUCGAAUUAUUAAUUAUGCAGGCGAAAUUACAGCUAUCCAACUUUCUUACUCUGUUGGGCACCAUAAACUAGGGAGUAACCUAAAAUGUUCCUUAUGCUGUUGUCCCGGCUGCAAUGCCCAAUCUAUAAACCAUGCGGGAGUGAAAAAGUAUCUGACAGAUACAAAUAGAAAACGGCAAUUUUGGCAUUUUAUAUUAAAUACUACUGGUGAGGUUUUUAACAGGGCGAACGAAUGAUUCUAUUGGCGCUCAAGGCUCGAAGAAGUGUUAAUAUAAUUGCUGUUUGUGUCAUUAGAAUCAAUGUUGCAAUUAUAAACUACUUUGUUAUUCCAGUAGUCCGUACUUUCUAUCCAGUUAUAAUGUGAACACGCGUGGCGAGUACAAUUUUCCUCCCGUCCGUCAUCAAAAUUGUUCCCAUUUCAACGCCGUCUUCUAUAUUCCCAAGUCAUUACGGUGUUAAUAAGUCUUAAAAAAAUUAAAUUCAACGCCUUGCUAAGGCGCAAAAGUCGAUAUGACGUUGAAGAAGAAGAAAACAGUCGAUUUGGGACACGUCGUUUUAAAAGUUAAUACUUUUUCGUACUUAGUUUUGCUAUUGCGCACUUUUAGAAAUGAUAAGACAAAGCAAAAGUUUUACUACCGAUUUGGAGAAUAUAUAAUGAUUUUCUGGCACGGGACUGCCUUCUUCAUGUAGCUAUAUAUAGGAGUAUGUAUGAGCAAAAUAAAUUUUCGAUUUUGUCAAGAGGUUGGACAGGUAAAGGAAUUCCUAUCUUAAAGGGCGUGUGGCCAGACAGGUAGGUCACCAAACGUGGCUCGUGUCGAAGACAGUUUCUUAUGCAAGGCAAAGUUUUGUUCCCAUGUUUAAGGGGGGGACACAUUUCCCAAAUUUUACACAAGUGCUGGGUAACUUAUGUUACAUUAAAAAGAGUAGAGGCAUACAUGUCAAUGCAAUGCUUUUACCUUUUAGAACACUUUUCACUUGCUGUCCAUUUUGAAAUUGCUGUUAUUGCUGAGGUCGGUGACUGUCAUGUUCUAUGUAG
Drosophila simulans is the source of this 2991-nucleotide long non-coding RNA. RefSeq lists it as uncharacterized. The transcript is spliced from 3 exons. Lineage: Eukaryota; Metazoa; Arthropoda; Insecta; Diptera; Drosophilidae. The record is from RefSeq and is a predicted model, not a curated record.